RNAcentral lists this ribosomal RNA (355 nucleotides) under uncultured bacterium. RNAcentral's name for it is "partial 16S ribosomal RNA". It matches the Rfam family "Bacterial small subunit ribosomal RNA", at positions 338 to 709 of the family's 1533-position model. The record is from RNAcentral.
CCUACGGGAGGCAGCAGUGGGGGAUAUUGCACAAUGGGGGGAACCCUGAUGCAGCGACGCCGCGUGGGUGAUGGAGUGCUUCGGCAUGUAAAGCCCUAUCGGCAGGGAAGAAGCAAGACGGUACCUGUCUAAGAAGCCCCGCCUAACUACGUGCCAGGAGCCGCGGUAAUCCGUAGGGGGCGAGCGUUAACCGGAUUCACGGGGUGUAAAGGGAGCGUAGACGGCCAUGCAAGUCAGGGGUGAAAGCCCGGGGCCCAACCCCGGGACUGCCAGUGGAACUGCAUGGCUGGAGUGCGGGAGGGGCAAGGGGAAUUCCUGGUGUAGGGGUGAAAUGCGUAGAUAUCAGGAGGAACAC